RNAcentral lists this non-coding RNA (30 nucleotides) under Homo sapiens (human). The record is from RNAcentral. Lineage: Eukaryota; Metazoa; Chordata; Mammalia; Primates; Hominidae.
UGACCAGAACAUAUCCGUGUUCAUGCUGUC